UGUCGGACAAAAUUUUAUGUUUGGACUUGGGUGAAUGUAAAUAGACUUAUACUCUCAGAUUUUAUCGUCGUUGAUGAUGUGAGGAGUUAUAAUGUGAUAAAGUAUAUAUGAUCUGGGGUCUUGUGUGUAGGAGCGAUGCAAAAUUAUAUAUGCUUAUGUAAUCAGACCAUGCUUUACUGUGGCUGUGAUAUAUGCUUCAUGACAAGUGGGGGUACUUCGGAUUCGGAACUGUUUGCCUCACAAUUUGUGCCCCGCGGUUGAGGCAAGUUCAUGAUGGGAUAAUGACUUGCAUAAUCCCUACACUCUAUUUUAUUUAUGAUAUUUGUCCAUGUUAAUGAUGUUUAUUGUGAUGGAGGUGACGAUGACAAAGACAUGUUGAUUCAAGUACUUUGCUUGCAUUUGCAUAUUUGCAUUCAUGAUGAUAGAGAAAGAAAGAGUACCCUACCUUGGGUAGGCACAUUGAGACCUCCAUUGUUGGGUUGUGUCCUACUUUGGAGGAAACCUCCACGCGCUGGAGUGAGUGGAAGUCGACGGGCGUCCACUCAAGCAAUACCGGUAUACGCAAUGAAAUGAGAUGAGCAUGUAGGCAUGUAGGACACCAAUACAUGCGUUCAGUGUUGUUGAGUGUAUGGUGUUAACAUAGAUUUAGUUCUUUCUUAUGAGUAUUGUUUAUUAUUCCUUUAUGAACCUGUUGAGUCCUUGUACUCACCCUUGUUGCUUACAUGUUUUUAGGUAAACCAUGAAGACACCAUACAUGAGAGUCGUGGGGUAGCAGUAUCACCAUCUUCACUACACGAAUAUCUCAUAUGUUAACUUCUAGCACCGUGCUUUGAGACCUUGUAUGGCUUAUACCUUACUUCACAUGGUGGAUUGUCUUGGAAUUCUAGAUUUACACUUUCGCUCUGUAUGGCUUAACUAAUUUCCACUAAGACUUACAUGAUCGCCUAGAGUUUCAAAGUGGCACCUGGUUAAUGUUGGUAUUGUAGCUUUGCGCUUUAUGCUUGUGUUUGGUUCCUUUUCAUACAUAAUCAUAUGAUCUAUGUGUCAUGGAUGUCCUUAGAUACACAGAAAGCUUUGUCGAAAUUUCCUUUUAGGGCAUGUUUCCUAUCCAAGGUCUUAUGUGGUAAUAUUCCAAGCGCCUUGUCAGCUUGGGGUGUUACAGUUGGUAUCAGAGCAGGCUUUAGGUCCUAGUGUAUCUAUAUAGGAUAAUUGCAUAACUUAGUUAUGAAUUUAGGAUUGAUUAAAAAAUUUACUAUAGGAUGAACAACAUUAGAACUGACACACUGGUGCACAAUAGGAUGGAUUGGGCCAUGCAUUGCAUUAUGCUUAAGUUAAUGUUUUUCUUUAAUUUUGGGAUACUUAUGUCGGCAUAUGAUCAUGACUUUUGCGUUGAUGAUUGACUAUGCUACUUAUAGCUAUGUGCUAUCUCUUGAGCUUGGGUUGGUUUUUCCCUUGAAGACGAAAGGGCGAGGCAGCAAAGUAGUGUAAGUAUUUCCCUUAGUUUUGAGAACUAAGGUAUCAAUCCAGUAGAAGACAACGCGACAAGCCACCAAAUACCAGCACAAACAAACACCAACUUGCAACCAACACGACAAAGGGGUUUUCAAUCCCUUCACGGUUAUUCGCAAAGUGAGAUCUGAUAGAGAUGGAUAAACGGUAAAGUAAUAUUUUUGGUAUUUUUAGUUUGUGGAACGGAAAGUAAAGAUUGCAAAAGAAAGUAAAUAGGAAACUAGAAUUGUAGAUUGGAAACUUAUAUGAUGGAAAAUAGACCCGGGGGCCAUAGGUUUCACUAGAGGCUUCUCUCAAGAAAGGAAUUAUUACGGCCGGUGAACAAAUUACAGCCGAGCAGUUGAUAGAAAAGCGCAAAGUUCUGACGAUAUCUAAGGCAAUGAUGAUGAAUAUAGGCAUCACGUCCGUGUCAAGUAGACCGAAACGAUUCUGCAUCUACUACUAUUACUCCACACAUCGACCGACUCCUGCCUGCAUCUAGAGUAUUAAGUUCAUAAGAAUAGAGUAACGCAUUAAGUAAGAUGACAUGAUGUAGCGGGAUUAACUCAAGCAAUAUGAUGAAAAUACCAUCUUGUUAUCCUCAAUGACAACAAUACUAUACGUGCCUUGCUACCCCUACUGUCACUACGAAAGGACACCGCAAGAUUGAACCCAAAGCUAAGCACUUCUCCCAUCGCAAGGAAAACCAAUCUAGUUGGCCAAACCAAAUCGAUAGUUCGAAGAGACUUUCAAAGAUAUCAAAUCAUGCAUAAAAGAUUUCAGAGGACAUUCAAAUAAUAUUCAAAGAUAAGCUGAUCAUAAAUUCAGAAUUCAUCGGAUCACGGCAAACACGCCGCAAAAGACUAUUACAUAGAAUAGAUCUCCAAGAAUAUUGAGGAGAACAUGGUAUUGAGAAUCAAAGAGAGAGAAAAAGCCAUCUAGCUACUAGCUAUGGACCCGUAGGUCUAUGGUAAACUACUCAUGCUUCAUCGGAGAGGUAAUGGUGUUGAUGUAGAAGCCCUCCGUGACCAAAUCCCCUUCUGGCAGGAUGGGGGAAAAGGCCCCAAAAUUGGAUCUCACGGGUACAGAAGGUCGCGGCAAUGGAAAAAUGGUUUUGUGGCUCUCCUGGAAGUUUUCAGGGUAUAAGAGUAUACAUAGGAGGAAGAUCUAGGUCAGAAGGCCACCGAGGGACCCACAAGGUUGGGGUGCGCGCCCCAACCCCUAGGUGCGCGCUCCACCCUUGUGGCCGCCUCGUGGCUCUUCCGACUUGCACUCAAAGUCUCUUGGGUGUCUUCUGGUCCAAGAAAGAUCAUUGCGAAGCUUUUAUUCCGUUUGGACUCCGUCUAGUAUUCCUUUUACGCGAAACUCUAAAAUAAGGAAAAAACAGAAACUGGCACUAGCAAUGGCCUCUAGGUUAAUAGGUUAGUCCCAAAAAUCAUAUAAAAUAGCAUGUUAAUGCAUAUAAAACAUCCAAAACAGAUAAUAUAAUAGCACGGAACAAUCAAAAAUUAUAGAUACGUUGGAGAUGUAUCCAGCAUCCCCAAGCUUAAUUCCCGCUCGUCCUCGAGUAGGUAAAUGAUAAAAACACAUUUUUUGAUGUGGAAUGCUACCUAACAUAUUUAUCGAUGUAAUUCUAUUUAUUGUGGCAUGAAUGUUCAGAUCUGUAAGAUUCAAAACAAAAGUUUAAUAUUGACAAAAAAAUAAUACUUCAAGCAUACUAACAAAUAAUUAUGUCUUCUCGAAAUAACAUGGCCAAAGAAAGCUUAUCCCUACAAAAUCAUUGAUGACCCACAAGUAUAGGGGAUCUAUCGUAAUCCUUUCGAUAAGUAAGAGUGUCGAACCCAACGAGGAGCAGAAGGACAUGAUAAGUGGUUUCCAGCAAGGUAUUCUCUGCAAGUACUGAAAUAAGUGGUAACAAAUAGUUUUGUGAUAGGAUAAUUUGUAACGAGCAACAAGUAACAAAAGUAAAUAAAGUGCAGCAAGGUGGCCCAAUCCUUUUGUAGCAAAGGACAAGCCUAGACAAACUCUAAUAUGAUGUAAAGCGCUCCCGAGGACACAUGGGAAUAUCGUCAAGCUAGUUUUCAUCACGCUCAUAUGAUUCGCGUCCGGUACUUUGAUAAUUUGGUAUGUGGGUGGACCGGUGCUUGGGUGCUGCCCUUACUUGGAAAAACAUACCACUUAUGAUUAACCUCUAUUGCAAGCAUCCGCAAAUACAACAAAAGUAUUAAGGUAAACCCGCCUUCUGUGCUAGAGAUAAGCCAAACCUAUGUGCUAAUGCUUCCGCUGUUAGGACAUCAGCGCAACAAUCAAUCUUCCAAUUUCCACCUACAAUAAAGUUUCCUUUGUCAUCCCUGAGGACAGCCCCCGCUGUGCCCUUUAGUAGAUCGUGAUUGAAGGCAGCAUCCACAUUCAAUUUAACGACGCCCCUAGGAGGUCAACUCCACCCUCCAAUCUUCCUAUUAGCAUUAGGGGAAUGGGCAUUUACAAAAUUUGUCGUCAUAGCACGAAUUCCCAUCGAGGUUCGACAUACCUCUUGAGACUUUCCCCCGUGAACCAGUUUACGUCUAUUCCACCAUAAAUACCACGCGGUUACAGCAAUCAGCUCUCGUGCGUUCCGUGAAUCCGACAAAGAAAACUCUUGUUGUGGUAUGAGGAAUAAUGAUUCAAGGACUGCCUCCCCUGCAUGAUCAACCGCACAAGCUUUUUUAACCGCUCCAUACAUCCCCAAAUUUUCCCACACUUCUUUUGCCUUCUGACACAGGAACAACACAUGCUUUGUAUCCUCUAGCCCAUUUCAACAUGAUGGGCAAUUGGGCAAAAAAUUUAUGUGUCUAUUGGCUAGGGUAAUAUGACACGGUAGUGUCCCAUGCAAUGUGUGCCAGAUAAAAAAAUCAGCUUCGCCGGACAAGCUAAUUUCCAAAUCUUGCCCCAAAUAGGAUUGACCCUACUUCUACCCAUUCCAUUUGUGUAUUCUAGUUUCUUUCCAUGUUGUUUAUUCCACUCCUCCAGAUAAGCAGAUAGUAUAGUGAACAAACCGUUUUUAGUAUAGCUCCAAGCAAUGAAGUCCUGCAUAUUAUUCAUAGGGAGAGGGAUCGCCAGGACUCUUCAAGCAUCAAUUGGCCAUAGUGUUUGUCUCACCAAAUCUUCAUCCCAACCAUUUGUGGUUGGGUCAAUAAGAUUAGACACUUUCGUCAGAAAUAUCCCUCGUCUAGGAGUAAUAAUUCUCCUAUUCGCACAAUUUGGGAUCCAAGCGUCUGUCCAAAUAUUAAUUUUUUUCUUGGUUCCAACUCUCUAUAUAUAACCAUUUCUGAGAGAGUCAACUCCCGCCGUAAUACUUUUCCAAGUAAAGGAGGAACCCUUUUUAAAUUUUGCGCUCAUCAGAUCACCCUCUGGGUAAUACUUGGCUCUUAGGAUUGUGGCACAUAACGAAUCAGGAUUAUGUAGGAGACGCCACACUUGUUUAGCUAACAAUGCGAGAUUAAAGCAGUGUAUAUCACGAAAUCCCAUCCCUCCUUGAUCUUUGGGAACACAUAUCUUCCACCAUGCCAUCCAAUGCAUCCUUUUAUGGUUGUCGUCGUCGCCCCACCAAAAUUGCGACAUCACGUCAAUGAUUUCUUUACAAUUUUUUCAGGAAUUUUAAAGACGGGCAUGGCAUAAGUUGGGAUAGCUUGAACAACAGAUUUUAGCAAAAUUUCCUUUCCACCGCAGACAACAGUUUUUCUUUCCAUCCACUAAUCUUCAUAAUAAUUUGGUCAAUCAGGAACUGAAAGCAAUCACUUUUGUCCAUCCCCACAUGGGCUGGUAGACCCAAAUAUUUGUCAUUGAGUGCCUCAGUCAUAAUAUUCAGAGUAGUACAAAUUUGCACCUUUUCUUCCACUUUUGUUUUGGGGCUGAAAAAUAUGCUAGACUUUUCAACACUCACCAUUUGACCCUAGGCGACACAAUAAGAUGCAGAACUUCUCUCAAAGCCUUCGCAUUUGUAUCAUUAGCUUGCAUGAGGAUCAAUGAAUCAUCCGCAAAGAGUAAGUUGGAAAUAAAAGGGGCAUCUCUGCUAACUUUUAUGCCGAAAAUACUAGUUGUUUCUUCUGUGUUUGCUAAAAGAGCAGUGAGGCCCUCUGUGCACAACAAAAACAAAUAGGGAGAGAGUGGAUCCCCUUGCCUUAGUCCUCUAGUAGGUUUGAAACUAUCAGUAUCAUCGGCAUUAAACCGUACUCUAUAUUCCACUGAGGAUACACACUGCAUGAUUAAGUUCACCCAAUUCUCUUUAAAACCCAAUUUCAAUAGAACUCCUCUUAAAAAUUAAAAAAAAGACCAUUUCACUCGGUCAUAAGCUUUAUGCAUGUCUAGUUUAAUGGCACACAACCCUUCUUUACCUGCCCUUUUCAUUCUUAUUUUAUGAAAACGCUCAUAUGCUAGUAAAAUAUUAUCUAUGAUCAAUCUCCCAGGAACAAAAGCACUUUGAGUUGGGCUGAUAAUAUCUGAAAGAAUUACCUUUAAUCGUGCAGCAAUCAUUUUUGAAAUAACCUUAUACACCACAUUGCACAAACUGAUUAGUCUAAAUUGAAUAAUCUUUUCUGGAGAAUUAACCUUUGGGAUCAUGACAAUUGUAGUGUAAUUCCAUCCUGCCGGUAUAGAACAUGUAUUCAACGCCUUGAGGACUUCUUCUGUCAGAUAUUCUCCCAACAUCUGCGCAAAAAAAGAUCUUCUCCCAACAUAGACCAAAAUCUCUUAUAAAAGAUAGCAUGCAGACCAUCCGGACCCGGUGCUUUUAAAUCACCAAUAUCAAAUAAGGCCUUCCGAACUUCCUCCGCUGUGUAUGGAGCCGUAAGACCAGUAUUCAUUUCAUUCGUGACUUUCCUUUCUACAAGAGAUAGAACCUCCGGGUUUGGGUGAGAGACUUCUGACAUAAAUAGAUUUGAAAAAUACCCUCUAAUGCAAUCCUUCAUCUCCGACUCUUCCACCCACGCCCCAUUAUCUCCAAGCAAUAUUUUUAUCUGAUUUCUUUUCUUUCUGGAUGUUGCCGCAUUGUGGAAAAAAGAGCUGUUCCGGUCCCCGUGUAAUAGACAAUUUGCACGACCACGCUGAAUCCAGUAAAUCAGCUCUUGUUCCAACAAAUUUUCAAUAAGAAAAAUAAUCUCCUUUUGUCGUGCUUGGGAAUCCACAUUCAUAGGUCCCCUACGUAGCUUUUUCAAUUCUAUUUUAAGUUUACCUAUUCUCUUUUUCGGUCCGUUCAGAGUCUCGUGAUCCCAAUUCUGCAAAUCUGCAUGUACCACUCAUGUACGAUCAGCGAGCGUAGGCCCAAUGCCCAUUUUCUUUGCCUUUUCCCAUGUUGUACGCACAAUCUCAACGGGUGUCUCCUCUCUAAGCCAUCUAGCUUCAAAUUGUUUCACUCGUCCCCUUGGAGGUUUAGAAAUAUUGGCGUCAAAGUAUUCAGCAUCCAAGAUGAUGGGACGAUGAUCGGAAUGAACAUGUUCCUCAUUUAUAACCGCAGCUCGGGGGAAUACAUUCGCCCAUUCCACAUUGCAAACCGCCAUGUCAAGUCUCUCUCUAGUGUCGCCUGUCCUCCAAGUGAAAGGAUCACUAAUACAUCCCAUAUCGUCGAGGCCGCACUCUCCUAAACAAUUACGGAAAUAUCUCAUCAUUGCAUUCGGUUUCGCAUUGCCACCUUCUUUUUCCGACGAGAGUAAAAUUUCAUUAAAAUCUCCUAAAACCACCCACGGGUGCUUGCCCUUACUAUGUAGGUUUCAGAGCUUAUCCCAGGAUAAACUACGCUCACUCCAAACCGGAUGACCAUAAAAGCCCGUGAACCACCAAUGCACGGAAUCAUCAUUUAGAAAAAAGAAUAUCAAUAAAAUUAGGCGACUCAUAGUUCGAAACCACUUUAUUCAUCUUAUGAUAGAACAAAACUAGGCCACGGGCCCGACCAUCACUCCCCACUACAAUAAUUGAAUCAAAAGAUAAAGAAUGACAUAGCUCAUCGGCUUUACAUUUAUUGAAGUGCGACUUAGAGAGAAAAAUCAAAUCCGCCAUGAUACUCCCUGAUACGUCUCCAACGUAUCUAUAAUUUUUUAUUGUUCCAUGCUAUUAUAUUAUCAACCUUGGAUGUUUCAUAUGCAUUUAUAUGCUAUUUUAUCUGAUUUUUUGGGACUAACCUAUUAAGCUAGAGCGAGUGCCAGUUUCUAUUUUUUCCUUGUUUUUGAGUAUCACAGAAAAGGAAAACCAAACGGAGUCCAAUUGACCUGAAACUUCACAGAACUUAUUUUUGGACCAGAAGAAGGCCAUGGAGUAAAAGAGUUGGGCCAGAAGAGUUUCGGGCUGCCCACGAGGGUGGGGGCGCGCCCACCCCCUGGGCGUGCCUCCCUACCUCGUGGAUAGCCCGAAGACCCCCCCUGACUUGUUCUUCACGCAAAACCUCUUAUAUGUACUAAAACCUCCAGAACAUAACCUAGAUCGGGAGUUCCGCCGCCAGAAGCCUCCGUAGCCACCGAAAACCAAUCUAGACCCGUUUCGGCAUCCUGCCGGAGGGGGGAAUCCCUCUCCAGUGGCCAUCUUAAUCAUCCCGGCACUCUCCAUGACGAGGAGGGAGUAGUUCACCCUGGGGGCUGAGGGUAUGUACCAGUAGCUAUGUGUUUGAUCCCUCUCUCUCAUGUUCUUGAUUCGGAACAAUCUUGUUGUAUCGCGAGAUUUUCUAUUAUAGUUGGAUCUUAUGAUGUUUCUCCCCCUCUACUCUCUUGUGAUAAAUUGAGUUUUCCCUUUGAAGUUAUCUUAUCGAAUUGAGUCUUGAAGGAUUUGAGAACACUUGAUGUAUGUCUUGCAUGUGCUUCUCUGUGGUGACAAUGGGAUAUCACGUGAUUCACUUGAUGUAUGUUUUGGUGAUCAACUUGCGAGUUCCAUGACCUCGUGAACUUAUGCAUAGGGGUUGGCACACAUUUUCGUCUUGACUCUCUGGUAGAAAAUUUAGGGCACUCUUUGAAGUUCUUUGUGUUGGUUGAAUAGAUGAAUCUGAGAUUGUGUGAUGGAUAUCGUAUAAUCAUAUCCAUGGAUACUUGAGGUGACAUUGUAGUAUCUAGGUGACAUUAGGGUUUUGGUUGAUUUGUGUCUUAAGGUGUUAUUCUAAUACGAACUCUAGGAUAGAUUGAAUGGAAAGAAUAGCUUCGUGUUAUUUUACUACGGACUCUUGAAUAGAUUGAUCAGAAAGAAUAACUUUGAGGUGGUUUCAUACCCUACAAUAAUCUCUUCGUUUGUUCUCUGCUAUUAGUGACUUUGGAGUGACUCUUUGUUGCAUGUUGAGGGAUACUUAUAUGAUCCAACUAUGUUAUUAUUGUUGAGAUAACUUGCACUAGUGAAAGUAUGAACCCUAGGCCUUGUUUCAACGCAUUGCAAUACCGUUUUCGCUCACUUUUAUCAUUAGUUACCUUGUUGUUUUUAUAUUUUCAGAUUACAAAAACCUAUAUCUACCAUCCAUAUUGCACUUGUUGUUGGAAAUAUGCCCUAGAGGCAAUAAUAAAAUGGUUAUUAUUGUAUUUCCUUGUUCAUGAUAAUUGUCUAUUGUUCAUGCUAUAAUUGUAUUAACCGGAAACAGUAAUACAUGUGUGAAUACAUAGACCACAACAUGUCCCUAGUAAGCCUCUAGUUGACUAGCUCGUUGAUCAAUAGAUGGUCAUGGUUUCCUGACCAUGGACAUUGGAUGUCAUGUAUAACGAGAUCACAUCAUUAGGAUAAUGAUGUGAUGGACAAGACCCAAUCCUAAGCCUAGCACAAGAUCGUAUAGUUCGUCUGCUAAAGCUUUUCUAAUGUCAAGUAUCAUUUCCUUAGACCAUGAUAUUGUGCAACUCCCGGAUACCGUAGGAAUGCUUUGGGUGUACCAAACGCCACAAUGUAACCAGGUGGCUAUAAAGGUGCACUACGGGUAUCUCCGAAAGUGUUAGUUGGGUUGGCACAAAUCGAGACUGGGAUUUGUCACUCCGCGUAAAAGGAGAGGUAUCUUUGGGCCCACUAGGUAGGACAUCAUCAUAAUGUGCACAAUGUGACCAAGGAGUUGAUCAUGGGAUGAUGUGUUACGGAACGAGUAAAGAGACUUGCCGGUAACGAGAUUGAACAAGGUAUCGGGAUACCGACGAUCGAAUCUUGGGCAAGUACUAUACCGGUAGACAAAGGGAAUUGUAUACGGGAUUGACUGAAUCCUUGACAUCAUGGUUCAUCCGAUGAGAUCAUCGUGGAACAUGUGGGAGCCAACAUGGGUAUCCAGAUCCCGCUGUUGGUUAUUGACCAGAGAGAUGUCUCGGUCAUGUCUGCAUUAUUCCCGAGCCCGUAGGGUCUACACACUUAAGGUUCGAUGACUCUAGGGUUAUAGGGAAAGUAUGUACGCGGUUACUGAAUGUUGUUUGGAGUCCCGGAUGAUAUCCCGGACGUCACGAGGAGUUCCAGAAUGGUCCGGAGGUGAAGAUUGAUAUAUUGGACGAAGGGUUUUGGAGUCCGGAAGUGUUCCGGAGGUACCGGGUGAUGACCAGCAUGACCGAAAGGUGUUUCGGGAGCCCCGACAAGUGUUGGGGGGCUUCAUGGGCCAAGGCAAGGGGGCAAACCAGCCCACUAAGGGGCUGUGCGCCCCCCUCACCUAUUCCCACGUGACCAGGGGGUUUGGGGCGCCCCAUCUAGGGUUCCCACCUCCUGGCUUGGGGGCCAAGUCACCGAAGGGGGAGAUCCCAUCUGCCCUGGCCGCCGCCCCCCCUCCCUAGGGGAAACCCUAGGGCACCUCCCCUUGCCCUUGCCCCUAUAUAUAGUGGAGGUUUUGGGGCUGCAUAACACACUAGUCUCUCUCUCCCAAGGCGCAACCCUACCUCUCUCCCUCCUCGUCUCUCGUAGUGCUUGGCGAAGCCCUGCUGGAGUACCGCGCUCCUCCACCACCACCACGUCAUCGUGAUGUUGCUGAACGGAGUCUUCCCCAACCUCUCCCUCUCUCCUUGCUGGAUCAAGGCAUGGGAGACGUCACCGGGCUGCACGUGUGUUGAACACGGAGGCGCCGUUGUUCGGCGCUUAGUUCGGAAUAGACCGCGAUAUGAAUCGCUACGAGUACGACUACCUCAUCCGUGUUCUAGUAAUGCUUCCGCUUAGAGAUCUACAAGGGUAUGUAGAUGCACUCCCCUUCCCCUCGUUGCUAGAUUACUCCAUAGAUUGAUCUUGGCGAUGCGUAGAAAAUUUUAAAUUUCUGCUACGACCCCCAACAUGUAUGACUUAUUUUAUUUGUAGAGUUGUGUUGUGAUAUCUUCCCGCGAGUCCCUGAUCUCGAUCGUACACGUUUGCGUGUAUGAUUAGUGUACGAUUGAAUCAGGGGCGUCACAAGUUGGUAUUAGAGCCGACUGCCUGUAGGAAUCCCCCUUCCACACUCCUUGGCCGAAGUCGAGUCUAGACAUUGCAAAACUUUUACUAACAUGGCAGUGUGUCUUAUGGGCUCAUGUCACCAUUGGGUGUUAUUAGGAUCUUUUACUCCUCGAUCUUUACUCCGGGAUUCUGAUCUCUCUUCUAUUCGGGUUAAAAGAUUUUGCUAACUCUAACUCUAUGUUCUUGUAAAUACUUUCUCUCGGAGAACCCCUCACUCCAGAUGGUCGCCUGUUGCACCAGAAGAUUCCGAAGAUACUCUUUGAUGUUAUCCUGAGAACUUGUGCUCAUUGCAUUUGCAAUUCCCUUCCACCGUCAAUCCCUAUAGAUAACUACAUGCCCUUGCCAUUCUUACAUUAGUCCCUAGUUGCUCUUGUUAUUACAAGAUACCCCGAGAUGCUCAUUGUUGUUCCGAGAAUCCUUGUGCCUACUGCCUUGCAGUUUCUUGUCACCUGAAUACUCCUACAAAUUAAUCCUCACACACACACCAAGGAUUUGUUUCUCCUUAGUUCAUGUGUUUCACCAAAGUCUUCGAAAUACUAUUUGAUCUUUUGAAAAUCCUCAACAGCCUAUUGGUCUUGAAAUUCUUGCUUGCUUGCAUUCUGGUUAAUCCAUAAGUAUAGUAAUCUUAUUGGCAUCCUUUGUCACUAUCAUUUUUGAGUCCAUUCAUUCAAUACGUUGCGAAUGCUCACAAUCAUCAGUCGAAUCCUAGGAUUAUCCUUCCGGCUAAGAUGUCAUUUGGGUAUGAGCUGGUUCAUGACCAAUCAAUGCCUUGAUCGGUUGUGCUUCCAAGUCUAUUGAACUUAUUCAUUUUCGAUCACGAAUUAUUUGCUUAUAAUCCCUUGAUUUGGAAAUCAUAAAUUUCGUUGCUUGUAGCUUUGAAUUAGUCAGUUGUUUCUAUAAUCAUAUCUCUAUGCAUUCUUCUUCCUUUGGUUGAGUACCGAUGCUCACCUCAGAUCCCUUGAGGACCAUCAGAUCCUUUGUUGGAUUUUCUCCAACAGUGUCCUUCAUAUUCCAUAACGUUGCGAGUCUUUCCGCGGAUAUAUGAUGCCUUUGGUAAAUUGUAUCCUCUGCUUCUCAACCAUGCUUUGCUUUCGAGCUGGUGGUAUUUACUAUUGAAGCUUGUGGUAUAUGUUUCCACGACACCCUGACGGGUAGAACCUAUGCUUUCCUUAAUAUGUGUGAAAUCAAAAGUUUUCACGAGUCAUACUCUUCUGGUAUUUUGCUAGAUGAAAUUUCAACACUACAACUUAUUCGAAAGUGAGAGGUGAAUGGAAGGUUAUACAUUGAAGAAGUGGUAGUCGACCUAUCAUUAAAGCUUCUCUUAAAUUAAUUAUUCCCUUGGUAUAAGUUCAUCUUAUAUUUAGGAUCCGACCUUUUGCAAUCGUGGUUUCGACCAUGUUCUCCUUUAAAUACCAUUUUUUGUGCAAGUUUAAGCACUUGUCUUUUGCAGAGCAAUACCCUAGUCGAACCUCUACUUUGAUCUAUCGUCGAGUAUUACCCCCUGGUAUCUCAAGAUUGUCAUGGAACCGCAUACCUUCUUAUGAGCUCUUCAUUAAGUACUACAUUCUGACAGUUUCCAAUUUUUCACGGGCUCUGAGUUAUUAAACUCUCAAAGACACUGAUAACUAUACCGAGUCCGCACUAUGGUUCAACAACUCUUAGUAAUCUUCUUUAUGCAUGAGUGUGUACUCGAUCACACUGUUCCUAGUCUGUUUGGCUAUAUCAUUGUCUUGAUGAUUUUAACCAUGCUACUUGGUCCUUAUUCCAGGGGCACCACUUUCGACGACGAGCUAAGCUUACGGUUUGGAGUCAAAGGAAAGUUAGUGCCACGAUUUGUGGGUCCAUACAGAGUCUUGGAACGUAUGGGUGAAGUUGUUUACAACUUGGAUUUACCUGAAGGUUUGUCAGGAGUUCAUGAUGUGUUUCACGUUUUUGCAAUUGAAGAAGUGACAUGCAGAGAUAGCUGAUAUUCCUCUGAGAGAUACGGUGCCCCUGGAAGCAAUUCAGUUGGAGAGUAACCUAAUUUAUGAGGAGAAACCCGUCAGGAUUCUAGAUUUCACCAACUGAGUCACUUGCAGUAAGGUCAUCAAGUUUUGCAAAGUUUAGUGGAGUCACCAUACCGAGGAGGAAGCCACUUGGGAACAAGAAGAAGACCUCCGAAAGGACCACCCACACCUUUUUGCUAGCCAACCCGACUCUCGACGGCGCUAUUCAUCUUAAGGGGGGUAGGUUUGUAACAUCCCAAAUUUCCAUUUGGAUGUUAUUUAGAUCAAUCAUAUGCACUCAUCAUUUGUGCAUAUUGGAAUUUGCUUUAUUUGAAAUUUUGAUCCAAGGGGUCUUAAACGACUCGAGGACAAAUAGAGAGAGUUGGAGGUUUCCCAAAACUCAUUUCUUUUUGAAUUUUUAAAACUUGGAAAUUUGGAUCAAAUUGAUUUACUCAAAAUUCUUUUCUAAUUAUUUGAAAUAAAUAAAAUAAAGAGAGAAGAUAAAAGGACUUCUUCAAAAACAACAAAGAAAUAUUGGAAAAUUAAAUUUUGAAUAAAAAUAUAUUUUAUUUGAUUUUAUUUGCAAGUUUAUUUAUUUUUAUUAGUACUAAAAAUAUUAUUUUUAUUUUAGGCAUCUAGGUCCAGACAAAUCUUCACCUAAGCCUAUUUAAUUAGGAGGGACUAUGUGAACUUUUCUGCAAUUUUUAAAAAUAUGUUUAUUAUGCUUUUUGUAUUUUUCGUAUCUCUGGAAAAAGGUUUUAAAAAAACUUUUGGACAGAACUGGGCAGAAGCCCAGCCAGCCCAGACGCCGCACCGCCUUCCUCCCGUGCGUGGCCUGGACUCGCCGGAGUCCGCCGGGCCAACGGCGCCGGCCGCCACUUCUCCAAGUCGGAGCACCCGCCACCUAUUUAAUGCAUCGUCCCCGGCCCUCGCUUUCCUCCUCCUCAGCCCGUAGCCGCCCCGCCUCCCAUCGCAGCGCCGAGCCAUCGCCAUCGCCGCACCGAGCCGCGCCACCACUACCGCGCACCGCAGCCGCUCCACCCGCCGCCCGAUCCGCCGCUGGAUCCCCGAGCCGCCGCCGGACUCACCGUCGCCCGAGCCCAGAUCCGCUCGACCCGACCCACCGGUUUUCUCGGUCAGGGAAUAAACCGACCCGGUCCGAUCCGGUUUUUUAGUUUUCGGUUUUUCUUUUAAGACCCGGUUUAUUAUUUUUAGUUUAGUUAUUUAGCAAAUGUUUGUUCGUUAAUGUUCUAUACUUUAAAGAUUCAUCAGAUUAGUGUUCGUAGCGGACGUUCGUCUGAUAGAUUUUUCUUUUUCUGUUUUAUUUUUCGGCCAGGGACCCAUCCAUGAAUAUUUUCUUCAUAGAUUAGCCCCUAAUCUUUAAAUCAUCACAACUUUUUACUCGUUUGUCCAAAUUCAACGAAACCAAUGCCAAAUUCUUCGUUAUGAUUCUAUCUAGAUAACCAACUUAACAAUAUUUUUGGAAGUUCAAAAUAUUAUUUCAAACAGAUUUGAGUUUGAACUUCUUCUGAUCAUAACUUGAGUUUCGUAAUUCUGAUUUGGUUGAUUCUUUUUGCAAAUCGAAGCUCUUGACCUAAACUUUCUGUUAAGAUCUAAUACACAUAACUUAAGUACUGUUAGAAAUUGUUUUCUAUUUGAAAGAGUUAUUUUCUUAUUCUUUUGACCUUUCUGAAUCCUUUUCUUUGGUUUUCUUUGCAUCUUCAUGCUUGAGUGCUUAUGUAUGCUAUUGUUUUUCUAUGAUAGAAAUUGUUAUCUAUUCGCUAGAUGGAUUCUUCUCUCUCUUUGAUCUUCAAUACAAUGUUCUCCUCCAUUUCUUGGAGUUCUAUUCGAUGUAAUCUUCUUUUGCGGUGCGUUUUGUUGAUAUUCGAUGAAUUUUGGAUUUUUAUCAGAUUAUCUAUGAUUAUUAUUUGAGUCUUCUCUCAACUCUUUUAUGCAUGAUUAAAAUAGCUUUGUAUUUCUCUCCAAUCUAUUGAUUUGGUUUGGCCAACUAUAUUGAUCUAUCUUGCAAUGGGAGAGGUGCUUUGUGAUGGGUUCAAUCUUGCAGUGUCCUCACUAGUGGCAGCAGGGGUAGCAAGACACGUAUUUGUAUUGUUGCCAUUAAGGAUGAAAAUAUGGGGGUUUUACCAUAUUUAUUGGAUCUAUCCCUCUACAUCAUGUCAUCUUGGUUAAGGCGUUACUCCAUACUUGUUAACUUAAUAGACUAGAUGCAUGCUGGAUAGCAGUUGAUGUGUGGAGUAGUAGUGGUAGAUGUAGGCAGGAGUCGGUCCACUUGUCACGGACAUGAUGCCUAUAUUCAUGAUCAUUGCCUUAGAUACCAUCAUAACUUUGCGCUUUUCUAUCAAUUACUCAACAGUAAUUUGUUUACCCACCAUAUGCUUUCUUCAAGAGAGAAGCCUCUAGUGAAAAAUAUGGCCCACAGGUGUAAUGCCCCGUUUUCAUUUGCUAUGCAUUUGUUCCUGAAGAAUGUUUAAAUAAAAGAAUAAGACAGAGUUAGUAAUUAUUAAAGUGAUGUAAGAAUAGGAAAAGGAAAAAAGAGACACACACACACGAAGAGAGAGAAAGAGAGAGUGCAUGUGAAAUAAAAUCAGCGUGGCAAAAAGAAAAUAAAAGAGAGGGUGUGUAUGCUAGUGUUUGAACCAUGGUCCUCUAGAUAUAUGAAGAAUUUAGAAACCAAUUUCUCUAGGUGCUACUUCUGGUACUAUACCAGGAAACAUAUUAGUUAGCUCCUCUAAAACAAGAGGAAAGAAAUUCUACAUGGGUCCAAGGCCCGGUCGAGCUCGGCCUGAUGGUCAGUCCCACACUGCGCCGCUAUAACCUGCGCCCAAAUCGCCUUUCUCUUCUUUUCCCCUCACCAAAAUAUUCCUCUCGUCUUAUCCAGUUAAGGCCGCAGCCUUCAGGUCGCUACCACUGCUGUGGGUUGCCAUCCCCAUGAGGUUGCUGUUGUUCCGACGCCUCUACUCGUCGAGGCCGUUGCCGGGCAGUUGUGGCUGCUAGGAAUUGUUGAUGCCAGUGGUACGUCCUAGUUUUCCUUCUCUAUGGUGAUGGCUAGGUAAGACUUAGGGAUUUGGGGCAGCAUCUCAUAGAUUGGAAUUAGAUAUGAGAACUGGAGAUGGAUUCCUGAAACACUUUGCAAAUUCGUUGGUGAGCCCAGUGCUUAUAAUUAUUUGGUUUUGCUUCCAGGUCAGACCUCCUCUAUGUUAGUUCCUUUGCUUAGCCAAAUAAGUUAGGGAAGAUAGCCCAUCCAUGAUGUUGUGAGAUGUGGACUGCCUUCUAGCAGAAAAACUAGAGUGUUGGGCAUCUCUGACUGUAAACUGAAUCUGGUUCAGUUAAAACCGCACUGACAAAUCUAGAUAGCCAGUUUCUAGGUGGAAAUUGAGUUAGUUAUGCUCACAAUUUCGAGUUGGCCUCUACAUAUCAGUUGCAAAGCAUGUUCCAAGGUUUCCGUGGAGUACUUACUUGCUUCAUUUGGAUGUACGGUUUGAGAGCAAUCGUCUAUUUGGUUACUGUCCAGAAACACAGUUUCGUGGGUACAGUAUUUUCAUAUGGAAGAUUAGGCCCUGUUGGAGGUGGAAUUAAAAUAAAGUUACAACAUAAAAUUUGUAGAGGAUAUUCUGCAGAUUCUUAAACAUAUAUUAUUUGUUAGAUUCCGUGUUAUACACUAAAUCCUAUGAAAUUAUUAAAAUGACUGUACUAUGACAGACAAAAUUUUAUGUUUGGACUUGGGUGAAUGUAAAUAGACUUAUACUCUCACAUUUUGUCGCCGUUGAUGAUGUGAGGAGUUAUAAUGUGAUAAAGUAUAUAUGAUCUAGGGUCUUGUGUGUAGGAGCGAUGCAAAAUUAUAUAUGCUUAUGUAAUCAGACCAUGCUUUAUUGUGACUGUGAUAUAUGCUUCAUGAUAGGUGGGGGUAUUUUGGAUUCGAACUGGUUGCCUCACAAUUUGUGCCCCGCGGUUGAGGCAAGUUCAUGAUGGGAUAACGACUUGCAUAAUCCCUACACUCUAUUUUAUUUAUGAUAUUUGUCCAUGUGAAUGAUGUUUAUUGUGAUGGAGGUGACGAUGACAAAGACAUGUUGAUUCAAGUACUUUGCUUGCAUUUGCAUAUUUGCAUUCAUGAUGAUAGAGAAAGAAAGAGUACCCUACCUUGGGUAGGCACAUUGAGCAUCCAUUGUUGGGUUGUGACCAGCUUUGGAGGCAACCUCCACGCGCUGGAGUGAGCGGAUGUCGAUGGGCGUCCAC
Molecule: long non-coding RNA, 17105 nt
Filed under: Triticum aestivum (bread wheat)
Lineage: Eukaryota; Viridiplantae; Streptophyta; Magnoliopsida; Poales; Poaceae
Description: long non-coding RNA (TAES_LNC020602)
Source: RNAcentral